RNAcentral lists this ribosomal RNA (292 nucleotides) under uncultured bacterium. RNAcentral's name for it is "partial 16S ribosomal RNA". It matches the Rfam family "Bacterial small subunit ribosomal RNA", at positions 505 to 796 of the family's 1533-position model. The record is from RNAcentral.
GUGCCAGCCGCCGCGGUAACACGGAGGGUGCAAGCGUUAAUCGGAAUCACUGGGCGUAAAGGGCACGCAGGCGGCCCGUCAAGUGGGAUGUGAAAGCCCCGGGCUCAACCUGGGAAUGGCAUUCCAAACUGGCGGGCUCGAGUCCGGGAGAGGGAGGCAGAAUUCCCCGUGUAGCGGUGAAAUGCGUAGAUAUGGGGAGGAAUACCGGUGGCGAAGGCGGCCUCCUGGCCCGGUACUGACGCUGAGGUGCGAAAGCGUGGGCAGCGAACGGGAUUAGAUACCCCGGUAGUCC